RNAcentral lists this ribosomal RNA (361 nucleotides) under uncultured bacterium. RNAcentral describes it as "bacterial SSU rRNA". It matches the Rfam family "Bacterial small subunit ribosomal RNA", at positions 29 to 419 of the family's 1533-position model. The record is from RNAcentral.
AGCGAACGCUGGCGGCAGGCCUAAUACAUGCAAGUCGAGCGCCCUUUCGGGGGAGCGGCGGACGGGUGAGUAACGCGUGGGAACGUGCCCUUUGCUACGGAACAACUGAGGGAAACUUCAGCUAAUACCGUAUGUGCCCUUCGGGGGAAAGAUUUAUCGGCAUUGGAGCGGCCCGCGUUGGAUUAGGUAGUUGGUGAGGUAAAGGCUCACCAAGCCUACGAUCCAUAGCUGGUCUGAGAGGAUGAUCAGCCACACUGGGACUGAGACACGGCCCAGACUCCUACGGGAGGCAGCAGUAGGGAAUCUUGCGCAAUGGGCGAAAGCCUGACGCAGCCAUGCCGCGUGAAUGAUGAAGGUCUUA